CCAACCGUGGAGGGUCCAUUUGGAAACUGGAAAACUUGAGUUGCAGAAGAGGAAAGUGGAAUUUCCAUGUGUAGCGGUGAAAUGCGCAGAGAUAUGGAGGAACACCAGUGGCGAAGGCGACUUUCUGGUCUGUAACUGACGCUGAUGUGCGAAAGCGUGGGGAUCAAACAGGAUUAGAUACCCUGGUAGUCCACGCCGUAAACGAUGAGUGCUAAGUGUUAGGGGGUUUCCGCCCCUUAGUGCUGCAGCUAACGCAUUAAGCACUCCGCCUGGGGAGUACGACCGCAAGGUUGAAACUCANAGGAAUUGACGGGGACCCGCACAAGCGGUGGAGCAUGUGGUUUAAUUCGAAGCAACGCGAAGAACCUUACCAAAUCUUGACAUCCUUUGACAACUCUAGAGAUANAGCCUUCCCCUUCGGGGGACAAAGUGACAGGUGGUGCAUGGUUGUCGU
Molecule: ribosomal RNA, 454 nt
Filed under: Staphylococcus sp.
Lineage: Bacteria; Bacillati; Bacillota; Bacilli; Caryophanales; Staphylococcaceae
Description: bacterial SSU rRNA
Rfam family: Bacterial small subunit ribosomal RNA
Source: RNAcentral